RNAcentral lists this ribosomal RNA (301 nucleotides) under uncultured bacterium. RNAcentral describes it as "partial 16S ribosomal RNA". It matches the Rfam family "Bacterial small subunit ribosomal RNA", at positions 509 to 807 of the family's 1533-position model. The record is from RNAcentral.
CAGCCGCCGCGGUAAUACGAAGGGGGCUAGCGUUGCUCGGAAUUACUGGGCGUAAAGGGCGCGUAGGCGGACAGUUAAGUCGGGGGUGAAAGCCCGGGGCUCAACCUCGGAAUUGCCUUCGAUACUGGCUGUCUUGAGUACGGGAGGGGUGUGUGGAACUCCGAGUGUAGAGGUGAAAUUCGUAGAUAUUCGGAAGAACACCAGUGGCGAAGGCGACUCUCUGGUCUGUAACUGACGCUGAGGAGCGGAAGCGUGGGGAGCGAGCAGGAUUAGAUACCCCAGUAGUCCCUGUCUCUUAUAC